GAAGUAUUUGAGAUGGAAAAAAUACAAUAUGUGAAAAUGAUGGAAGAAUGUGGGCAAGAAAAUGAGCAAGAUGGGAAAACUGUAGAAAAUCAUGAACACGGGAAAAGUUCGGCAGAACAUGAAAACGAAAAUCAACAGAACUGCAAAAUGAUAGAAGACUGUGGGAUUGAAAAAAUACAAUAUGGGAACAUCAUGGAGGAACAUGAAAGUGAAAACAAACAAGAUGGGAUGAUUGAAAACCAACAGGACAUACAGAACCAAGAUAAGGAACGAAUGUCACAUGUGGAUGUAGAUAAAGCAGUGAACGUGACUGUGCUCAGGAAGGAGCAAUCAUACACAGAGAUUAUAAAGAGGGAUGGGACAACAGAAGUACGUUUCAAAAAUGAGAAGAAACCUUUAAUCCAGACAGAGGAGGCUGACACAGUUUUUUCCCAGCAUGCACUCUUUCCAGAAUCGCAUGCUACAGAGCCAUCUCCAGUUAAUGAAGCAUGUAUUCCUGAAAGUAUUUCAACCACUCAAGAUAAAAACGAGUUACAGAUGUGCUCAACUCGUACCUCAUCUCAAAUAAACUUACCAACCAUUCAGGUCGAGUCAGAUCUUUCUAGUUUGAGCAAUCAAAGCGAUUCAGACAUAAAAGAGAAGACUGAAUCUAUUGACUCUCAAGCUUCCUCAGAGAUCUCCAAGAACAGCCCAGAUGCCACAUCAGCAGAACAGACUCCUGCAGUGAAGGAUGAACAACAGACAGAUGCAGAAAUGCUUCAAGAGGAUAAGAUUGUGGACGGCAGCAAUGAUUUGGCUGAGGGGAUUGAUGCUGAGUCCAAGACAUCACCUUUAUCUGAGAAUCAAGCCAGGACUGGACAAUCAGAUGAGGGGGAGGGGCUUGUACCUGUCAGUCAUUUCCCCGAAGACACAGAUUCUGCAGUGGACCUAAAAUAUUGUAUUACUCAUCAGCUGGAUCCGACUAAUGACAUAAGUGAUGUUGAAGAGGGAGAAGAGGCUAUAUCACUCCUAGCCAGUGACACAGAUGUGGAGCAAAACUUAAAAUGUGAUUCUGACUCUGAUCAAGUAAAUAAAGACAUUGAACAUGAAAUUCUGCAGAACUGCGAAACCAUCGCGGAAACACCCAACGACAGGAGGAAUGAUAAGACAGCCGAAGAAAAAUGAAGAACAUAAUUGGAGGCAUCAUGGGAACUCUGCAGCAAUCAUAGAGGAGCCCAUUUGGAGAAAUAUGACCAAUAGAUGUUUCUCUUAACCAAUCACUGAAGGUCUUUCUCCAGAUUAUUCUCAUAUGUGCCCAAUAAUGCAAUAUAUGUAAGUAGCACACGUUCAGGACUGUGUCCACAAAUGCACUCAAUAUACAAUGUGUAUUAUAACGUGAAUAUGUAUAUAUAUUUAUAUUUUUAAAUCUUAAGAAUAUAAAAGAGAAAAAUGUUAUGAUGUAUAAUAAAGAAGCUGUUUUUCUCAAAUCAUGCUGGGGAACAUAAUCAUCAUCACACACCAAAUACUGAGACAUCAUAAAUUCAUGUUCAUUUUUUUUCUGUUCAGCUGUUCACUUAAACUGUUAUAUUUAACCAAGAUUGCACUAUAUUAUAAAAGAAGCAUUUUCACAAGUGGACUCAGACUUCUGAACCCCACUGUUGGUUAUGUAUAGUUACAGAGCAUAUUUAUUAUUAAUUUUUCCUCUCAAGCAAAAUAAACUUGCUAGAAAUGUUGUUACUGUAUAAUGGUUCUUACUUUCCAAUAAAGAUUUCUCUGCAACCAUCUGACAAAAUAGUAAAUAUGGCGUUGCAGGCUAUUCAUGUGACUUAUUUGACUGUAUUUACAAUUUUAGAUGGAUAUCUCAUCUUGAAAGAAUAUGCUAAAUGAAUCAGUUUGCCGAGUCAUUUUGUCCAUACG
This is a long non-coding RNA of Sinocyclocheilus grahami, 1896 nucleotides long. The record is from Ensembl. NCBI's taxonomy places the organism in Eukaryota, Metazoa, Chordata, Actinopteri, Cypriniformes, Cyprinidae.